RNAcentral lists this antisense RNA (192 nucleotides) under uncultured Ewingella sp. RNAcentral's name for it is "Yersinia sRNA 251". It matches the Rfam family "Yersinia sRNA 251". From Rfam's summary of the family: Antisense to phoH gene. Trimmed on 5'end from the original size. The record is from RNAcentral. Lineage: Bacteria; Pseudomonadati; Pseudomonadota; Gammaproteobacteria; Enterobacterales; Yersiniaceae.
GUAAGCGUGCAGGGUGCGUUUACACAGCUCCGAACGCACGCAGUCCUCUUUACCAAAUUCUAUGAUGCCGACCAUCUCGUCUUCUUCGAAGCGGGACAUCGCAUCGCUGAGACCCGAUACCACGCCACGCGGUAAAUCGCACUGCGUAAUAUCACCGUUAACAAUCACCGUCACAUUUUCACCCAGACGGGU